This 459-nucleotide ribosomal RNA is filed under the name uncultured bacterium. RNAcentral describes it as "partial 16S ribosomal RNA". It matches the Rfam family "Bacterial small subunit ribosomal RNA", at positions 338 to 795 of the family's 1533-position model. The record is from RNAcentral.
CCUACGGGAGGCAGCAGUGAGGAAUAUCGGUCAAUGGGCGGGAGCCUGAACCAGCCAAGCCGCGUGAGGGAAGAAGGUACAGCGUAUCGUAAACCUCUUUUGUCAGGGGACAAAGGCGGGGACUAGUCCCCGGAUGAGGGUACCUUAAGAAAAAGCAUCGGCUAACUCCGUGCCAGCAGCCGCGGUAAUCCGGAGGAUGCGAGCGUUAUCCGGAUUUGUUGGGUUUAAGGGGUGCGAGGCGGGCCUGUUAAGUUAGCGGGAAUAUCCCGGGGCUCAACCUCGACGAGCCGUUGAAACUGGCUGGCUAGAGUGGGAGAGAGGUACGCGGAAUGCGCGGUGUAGCGGUGAAAUGCUUAGAGAUCGCGCAGAACCCCGAUUGCGAAGGCAGCGUACCGGCUCCACACUGACGCUGAGGCACGAAAGCGUGGGGAGCGAACAGGAUUAGAUACCCUUGUAGUC